This 480-nucleotide ribosomal RNA is filed under the name uncultured bacterium. RNAcentral describes it as "partial 16S ribosomal RNA". It matches the Rfam family "Bacterial small subunit ribosomal RNA", at positions 28 to 507 of the family's 1533-position model. The record is from RNAcentral.
GACGAACGCUGGCGGCGUGCUUAACACAUGCAAGUCGAACGAUGAAGAAAAGAAUUGAAGCUUCGGCAGAAAUUCAUUUCGGAUUAGUGGCAGACGGGUGAGUAACGCGUGAGCAACCUACCUCUUACAAAGGGAUAACCUCGGGAAACCGGGAUUAAUACCAUAUAACAUUGCGACGAAGCAUUUCGAUGCAAUCAAAGCUACGGCGGUAAGAGAUGGGCUCGCGUCCCAUUAACCAGAUGGUGAGGUAACGGCUCACCAUAGUAACGAUGGGUAACCGGCCUGAGAGGGUGAACGGUCACACUGGAACUGAGACACGGUCCAGACUCCUACGGGAGGCAGCAGUGGGGAAUAUUGCACAAUGGAGGGAACUCUGAUGCAGCGACGCCGCGUGAGUGAUGAAGGAAUUCGUUUCGUAAAACUCUGUUCUAUGGGAAGAAAAGGACUGUACCAUAGGAGAAAGCUCCGGCUAAAUACGUG